GCCGGUGUAGCUCAGGCGGUAGAGCAACUGAUUCGUAAUCAGUAGGUCCGCAGUUCAAAUCUGCGCACCGGCA
This 73-nucleotide transfer RNA is filed under the name Coxiella endosymbiont of Dermacentor silvarum. RNAcentral's name for it is "tRNA-Thr". It matches the Rfam family "tRNA". Rfam says of the family: Transfer RNA (tRNA) molecules are approximately 80 nucleotides in length. Lineage: Bacteria; Pseudomonadati; Pseudomonadota; Gammaproteobacteria; Legionellales; Coxiellaceae. RNAcentral also lists the same sequence under 1 other name. The record is from RNAcentral.